Molecule: ribosomal RNA, 351 nt
Filed under: uncultured bacterium
Lineage: Bacteria
Description: bacterial SSU rRNA
Rfam family: Bacterial small subunit ribosomal RNA
Source: RNAcentral
AGAGUUUGAUCCUGGCUCAGGAUGAACGCUAGCUACAGGCUUAACACAUGCAAGUCGAGGGGAAACGACAUCGAAAGCUUGCUUUUGAUGGGCGUCGACCGGCGCACGGGUGAGUAACGCGUAUCCAACCUGCCCACCACUUGGGGAUAACCUUGCGAAAGUAAGACUAAUACCCAAUGACGUCUCUAGAAGACAUCCGAAGGAGAUUAAAGAUUUAUCGGUGAUGGAUGGGGAUGCGUUCCAUUAGGCAGUUGGCGGGUAACGGCCACCAAACCGACGAUGGAUAGGGGUUCUGAGAGGAAGGUCCCCCANAUUGGUACUGAGACACGGACCAAACUCCUACGGGAGGCA